RNAcentral lists this ribosomal RNA (410 nucleotides) under uncultured archaeon. RNAcentral's name for it is "bacterial SSU rRNA". It matches the Rfam family "Archaeal small subunit ribosomal RNA", at positions 25 to 438 of the family's 1478-position model. The record is from RNAcentral.
UACUGCUAUCAGUGUUCGAUUAAGCCAUGCGAGUUAAAUGUUCUUCGUGAACAUGGCGUACUGCUCAGUAACACGUGGAUAACCUGCCCUAAGGUCCGGCAUAACCCCGGGAAACUGGGGAUAAUACCGGAUAAACCAUAGAUACUGGAAUGUUCUGUGGUUAAAAGUUCCGGCGCCUUAGGAUGGAUCUGCGGCCUAUCAGGUAGUAGUGGGUGUAAAGUACCUACUAGCCGACGACGGGUACGGGUUGUGAGAGCAAGAGCCCGGAGAUGGAUUCUGAGACAUGAAUCCAGGCCCUACGGGGCGCAGCAGGCGCGAAAUCUUUACAAUGCGGGAAACCGCGAUAAGGGGACACCGAGUGCCAGCAUACAAUGCUGGCUGUCCACAUGUGUAAAUAGCAUGUGAUAGCA